This is a non-coding RNA of Zonotrichia albicollis (white-throated sparrow), 1168 nucleotides long. NCBI's taxonomy places the organism in Eukaryota, Metazoa, Chordata, Aves, Passeriformes, Passerellidae. The record is from RefSeq and is a predicted model, not a curated record.
UUCUUACCUUCAAAGUUUAAGGGGGCUGAUGAAAGGAAAGAACCAAAGGGUUACUUUGUAAAUAAAUUAUGGUCUGAGAAGCUUUCAAUCUUAGCAGGACUCAGCGAAUCAACUACACUUGUUUCCUCUACCUGAAAGAAGUAAGUGAGCCAGCAUAGCUGAUGAUGAUCCCUGGCAUGAAGUCUGCUCACCUAGAAUACCUGUGAGUGAGGAGAAAGACUGAGCAAGCUAUUGCCAUGGGGCAGAGACUGAUCACAGAAACAGGACUGAGAAGGAAGCAUUCUUUCUUGUAAAAAAGCAGAGGCAGAUUUUAUUUGCAUUGUGUCUUCACAGUGGAUAAUGGCCAGGACAUUCUAGGGAGAAAAUCUGAAAUGUUUAAGGGAAGAGGAGCCUACCUUUGCCCUGUAUUUUCUAAAGGAAGACAAUGGAUCUGGAGUCCUUGUCUCUCUACUGAGUGAGAAGGAAGAACUUUAUUCUUGUGGGCCAAAGGAUUACACUGGGGAGCAUAGUCCUCAAACAGAUUAUACAAGCUGCUCUGAUUUCUCAUGGAAAUUAAAAAGCCUUGAAAGAUCCCUAUAUCCAUGACACAUGUAGACAGCCUGUUUUGAAAGUUUUAUUCCAGGUUUUUCCUUGGACAUAUUGCAAAAGAAAAGAAGAGAGUGAGAGUGCAACAAAGAAGUAAAAGAGAACUUGACAAGAAGAUAGGGAAUGAAAGAAAGAGGACAUUAUCAGAAGAAAAAGAAUAUCACAAUAAAAUCCAGGAUGUUUAUGUGUGAAGGUGCAAGUUUAAUGCAGGUGGUUAAAGUGAAGCAUGAAGUGAAAAACAUAUCACUGAGAAAGAAAAAAGGCUGUGUAGAAUAUGGUUCAAAGAGAUACUUUAAUAUUUUCACAUUAUAAAAGAGCUAUUUCAUUAAAGCUGAUUCCAGUUCAAUGAUUUGAUUUUUAAGUCCUGAAGUGAAAGUGGCAAAUACUUUUCCAGGUUUAAUUUUACUUUCAACAAAUUGGAAGCAUUGUAAAAAUAGACUUAAAAUUUGAUAUUAAGGGAAAGAAAAUAUGACACUUUUGUCAAUUUAAUAUAAAAUAUAAACAUUUGUUGUUUGGAAACUUUGUAAGCCAAACUACAGCAUUUUUCAGAAUUGUGUAACAUAAUGUGUUUGCUACAAUGGGA